UAAGGAAUAUUGGUCAAUGGACGCAAGUCUGAACCAGCCAUGCCGCGUGAAGGAUUAAGGUCCUCUGGAUUGUAAACUUCUUUUAUCUGAGACGAAAAAAGGCGAUUCUUCGUCACUUGACGGUACCAGAUGAAUAAGCACCGGCUAACUCCGUGCCAGCAGCCGCGGUAAUACGGAGGGUGCAAGCGUUAUCCGGAUUCACUGGGUUUAAAGGGUGCGUAGGCGGGCAGGUAAGUCAGUGGUGAAAUCCUAGAGCUUAACUCUAGAACUGCCAUUGAUACUAUCUGUCUUGAAUAUUGUGGAGGUAAGCGGAAUAUGUCAUGUAGCGGUGAAAUGCUUAGAUAUGACAUAGAACACCUAUUGCGAAGGCAGCUUACUACGCAUAUAUUGACGCUGAGGCACGAAAGCGUGGGGAUCAAACAGGAUUAGAUACCCUGGUAGUCCACGCCCUAAACGAUGAUUACUCGACAUUUGUGAUACACUAUAAGUGUCUGAGCGAAAGCAUUAAGUAAUCCACCUGGGAAGUACGACCGCAAGGUUGAAACUCAAAGGAAUUGACGGGGUCAUAGCUGUUUCCUG
This 579-nucleotide ribosomal RNA is filed under the name uncultured bacterium. RNAcentral's name for it is "partial 16S ribosomal RNA". It matches the Rfam family "Bacterial small subunit ribosomal RNA", at positions 355 to 1376 of the family's 1533-position model. The record is from RNAcentral.